RNAcentral lists this ribosomal RNA (928 nucleotides) under Pyronema domesticum. RNAcentral describes it as "eukaryotic LSU rRNA". It matches the Rfam family "Eukaryotic large subunit ribosomal RNA", at positions 76 to 1023 of the family's 3401-position model. Lineage: Eukaryota; Fungi; Ascomycota; Pezizomycetes; Pezizales; Pyronemataceae. The record is from RNAcentral.
UGCCUCAGUAACUGCGAGUGAAGCGGCAAAAGCUCAAAUUUGAAAUCUGGCGUCUUCGGCGUCCGAGUUGUAAUUUGGAGAGGCAUCUUCGGAUAUGGCGCCGUCCUAAGUUCCUUGGAACAGGACGUCACAGAGGGUGAGAAUCCCGUGCCUGGUCGGCUGUCCAUAUCCAUGUGAAGUGUCUUCGACGAGUCGAGUUGUUUGGGAAUGCAGCUCAAAAUGGGUGGUAAAUUUCAUCUAAAGCUAAAUAUUGGCGAGAGACCGAUAGCGCACAAGUAGAGUGAUCGAAAGAUGAAAAGAACUUUGAAAAGAGAGUUAAAAAGUACGUGAAAUUGUUGAAAGGGAAGCGCUUGAGACACCACUCGAUCUUUGGUGAUCAGCCGGGCUUCUGUCUGGUGCACUUGCCAUUGAUUGGGCCAGCAUCGGUUCUGACGGUGGGAUAAAAGGCAGAGGAAUGUGGCUCUCUUCGGGGAGUGUUAUAGCCUCUGUCAUAAUGCCGCCAGUUGGGACCGAGGACCGCGCUUCGGCUAGGAUGCUGGCAUAAAGGUCUUAAGCGACCCGUCUUGAAACACGGACCAAGGAGUCUAACAUCUAUGCGAGUGUUCGGGUGGAAAACCCUUGCGCGUAAUGAAAGUGAACGGAGGUGGGAACUCUUCGGAGUGCACCAUCGACCGAUCCUGAUGUUUUCGGAAGGAUUUGAGUAAGAGCAUAGCUGUUGGGACCCGAAAGAUGGUGAACUAUGCCUGAAUAGGGUGAAGCCAGAGGAAACUCUGGUGGAGGCUCGCAGCGGUUCUGACGUGCAAAUCGAUCGUCAAAUUUGGGUAUAGGGGCGAAAGACUAAUCGAACCAUCUAGUAGCUGGUUCCUGCCGAAGUUUCCCUCAGGAUAGCAGUAACGAUUUCAGUUUUAUGAGGUAAAGCGAAUGAUUA